AGGAUUGAACGAGAUGGUGCUAGAAGGGCUCGCUUAGCACCGCGCCCUGUGUUCAGACACUGCAGGAUCCAUCAUCAUCAUCCCUGUUGACUCAGGCUAGGCGAACCUCGGCGUCACCAUCCGCAAAAGAGGAACAGUAUCCGCCCUGUACCUUGCUUCAUGGGAUUGUGGUGGAUUUGAAUGAAAUGUAUGCAGAGCUUGCACUGUGUCUGGCACGCUGAGAAUAGCCAAGGACUGUUGUCCUUUAUAUUGUUCUUGAGCCUGUACUGUGCCGGCGUAGGCAGACACCAGGACAUCCUGCUGCCUCUAAUAAUACCGUCACCCCCACGUCCUAGAGCUUUAUGCCUAGAUGGGGUGCAGACUGCACCAAGUCUCCCGUUUUCUCGUUUUCUAGAGAGAACUCGUGCAGUGGGGAUUGCUACUUUCAGAAGGAAACUGGAGAAGGUCGUGAACAUUCACCCCAGUCCUUUUUAUCCAGCGAGAUUCACGCCUGGAAAACUGCUGUCUGGUCAGAAAGACUUUGCUGAGAAGAGCCAAGAGCUGAAACCCAGCCGAGGUGUUUCAGGAAAGAGGCCAGAAAGUAGACAGUCUACAGGAAUAUUUACUGUGCUUUCAUGAGAAAAAUUUCCAAGCUACCCCUUGAAGCAAUGAAGUUGGAUUUGGAGCAAAUGGAAACAUUGUGAAAUUGCUUAUUUUCUUCCAAAAUUUGUAUUUUUCUUCCUUAUUUCCUGUUAAAUCAGUGUCACUCAUUAGCAAC
This 757-nucleotide long non-coding RNA is filed under the name Equus caballus (horse). RNAcentral describes it as "lncRNA (ENSECAG00000042203.2)". The record is from RNAcentral. Lineage: Eukaryota; Metazoa; Chordata; Mammalia; Perissodactyla; Equidae.